Molecule: non-coding RNA, 155 nt
Filed under: Acidobacteriota bacterium
Lineage: Bacteria; Pseudomonadati; Acidobacteriota
Description: Acidobacteria bacterium 6S RNA
Rfam family: 6S / SsrS RNA
About the family: E. coli 6S RNA was the first non coding RNA to be sequenced, but its function was unknown until recently. It consists of 184 nucleotides that fold into an extended hairpin structure with a large single-stranded internal bulge.
Source: RNAcentral
GAACCCCUGCGAUGUUCGUGAUGAUGAGCCGCAAUUGAGCCAACACUCAAUAAACGGGAUCCCGAUGUCCCCCGUACUCCGUGGAGGCGAGGGCAGGGAACCCACCUGGGAAACCAGGUUCAUUGCGGUCAGUCACACGGCAGAGCGGGGGCCUU